AUAAACUUAGUUAAAAAAUAACAUCAGCUUGUCAAGCUGGAAUCAGCCGCCACCGUUAGUUUAUA
This 65-nucleotide transfer RNA is filed under the name Impressosora ruficollis. Its description in RNAcentral is "Eutrapela ruficollis tRNA-Asp". The record is from RNAcentral. Lineage: Eukaryota; Metazoa; Arthropoda; Insecta; Coleoptera; Tenebrionidae.